CUGGAGUCAAAAUCUAUGAAAAUAAUAGAGGUGUUGUCCUUUGUGCGCUGAGUUCUAGCCUCAUUCAACAUGACUUCAGCAAUCUUCUCUGCCAAAUUCUCCGUUUCUGUCGAAUGUCUCUCCCUCGCCUACACAGUCAAUUAUAAGAUCAGUUUUGAGUUGUUUCAGUCUCAGGUCAUUCAGAUUUGCCUAUUGAUUUUCCAGAGCUAGUAAUUUCAGGUUUUGGCACUCAAGAUUGGGUAUUUCGGGUAUGAAUCAUUCCGACUUCAGAUUAUUUCAGAUUCAAGUAAUCUUUGGUUUGAAUCUUUUCUGGAUUCAGGUUGGGCAGGUUCAAGUUGCUGACUUUGUACGGUUAAAUCGGGUAGGAAGAUUCGGGUUAAUCAAGUUGGGACCACAAGUCUAGAAACUGUAUAUUGUAUCUAAUGUUACAAUAAUAACAAUAAUACCUGUACAACUAACUGAAUUGCCUUCUUAAAGCUAACAACAUCCCACAAUCCA
Gossypium arboreum is the source of this 498-nucleotide long non-coding RNA. RefSeq lists it as uncharacterized. NCBI's taxonomy places the organism in Eukaryota, Viridiplantae, Streptophyta, Magnoliopsida, Malvales, Malvaceae. The transcript has 2 exons. The record is from RefSeq and is a predicted model, not a curated record.